GCUGGCGGCAUGCUUUACACAUGCAAGUCGAACGGUAACGCGGGCUUCGGCCUGGCGACGAGUGGCGAACGGGUGAGUACAACAUCGGAACGUAUCCUGAAGUGGGGGAUAGCCCGGCGAAAGCCGGAUUAAUACCGCAUGAUCUCUUAGGAGCAAAGCGGGGGAGCCGUAAGGUCCUCGCGCUAUUGGAGCGGCCGAUGUCGGAUUAUGCUUGUUGGUGGGGUAAAGGCCUACCAAGGCAACGAUCCGUAGCUGGUCUGAGAGGAUGAUCA
This 272-nucleotide ribosomal RNA is filed under the name uncultured beta proteobacterium. RNAcentral describes it as "partial 16S ribosomal RNA". It matches the Rfam family "Bacterial small subunit ribosomal RNA", at positions 35 to 306 of the family's 1533-position model. Lineage: Bacteria; Pseudomonadati; Pseudomonadota; Betaproteobacteria. The record is from RNAcentral.